AGGAUUAGAUACCCUGGUAGUCCACGCUGUAAACGAUGUCGACUUGGAGGUUGUGCCCUUGAGGCGUGGCUUCCGGAGCUAACGCGUUAAGUCGACCGCCUGGGGAGUACGGCCGCAAGGUUAAAACUCAAAUGAAUUGACGGGGGCCCGCACAAGCGGUGGAGCAUGUGGUUUAAUUCGAUGCAACGCGAAGAACCUUACCUACUCUUGACAUCCAGAGAAUUCGCUAGAGAUAGCUUAGUGCCUUCGGGAACUCUGAGACAGGUGCUGCAUGGCUGUCGUCAGCUCGUGUUGUGAAAUGUUGGGUUAAGUCCCGCAACGAGCGCAACCCUUAUCCUUUGUUGCCAGCGCGUAAUGGCGGGAACUCAAAGGAGACUGCCGGUGAUAAACCGGAGGAAGGUGGGGAUGACGUCAAGUCAUCAUGGCCCUUACGAGUAGGGCUACACACGUGCUACAAUGGCGUAUACAAAGAGAAGCGAACUCGCGAGAGCAAGCGGACCUCAUAAAGUACGUCGUAGUCCGGAUCGGAGUCUGCAACUCGACUCCGUGAAGUCGGAAUCGCUAGUAAUCGUAGAUCAGAAUGCUACGGUGAAUACGUUCCCGGGCCUUGUACACACCGCCCGUCACACCAUGGGAGUGGGUUGCAAAA
Molecule: ribosomal RNA, 649 nt
Filed under: Serratia sp. (in: enterobacteria)
Lineage: Bacteria; Pseudomonadati; Pseudomonadota; Gammaproteobacteria; Enterobacterales; Yersiniaceae
Description: bacterial SSU rRNA
Rfam family: Bacterial small subunit ribosomal RNA
Source: RNAcentral